GGUUAAGCGACUAAGCGUACACGGUGGAUGCCCUGGCAGUCAGAGGCGAUGAAGGACGUGCUAAUCUGCGAUAAGCGUCGGUAAGGUGAUAUGAACCGUUAUAACCGGCGAUUUCCGAAUGGGGAAACCCAGUGUGAUUCGUCACACUAUCAUUAACUGAAUCCAUAGGUUAAUGAGGCGAACCGGGGGAACUGAAACAUCUAAGUACCCCGAGGAAAAGAAAUCAACCGAGAUUCCCCCAGUAGCGGCGAGCGAACGGGGAGCAGCCCAGAGCCUGAAUCAGUGUGUGUGUUAGUGGAAGCGUCUGGAAAGGCGCGCGAUACAGGGUGACAGCCCCGUACACAAAAAUGCACAUGCUGUGAGCUCGAUGAGUAGGGCGGGACACGUGGUAUCCUGUCUGAAUAUGGGGGGACCAUCCUCCAAGGCUAAAUACUCCUGACUGACCGAUAGUGAACCAGUACCGUGAGGGAAAGGCGAAAAGAACCCCGGCGAGGGGAGUGAAAAAGAACCUGAAACCGUGUACGUACAAGCAGUGGGAGCACGCUUAGGCGUGUGACUGCGUACCUUUUGUAUAAUGGGUCAGCGACUUAUAUUCUGUAGCAAGGUUAACCGAAUAGGGGAGCCGAAGGGAAACCGAGUCUUAACUGGGCGUUAAGUUGCAGGGUAUAGACCCGAAACCCGGUGAUCUAGCCAUGGGCAGGUUGAAGGUUGGGUAACACUAACUGGAGGACCGAACCGACUAAUGUUGAAAAAUUAGCGGAUGACUUGUGGCUGGGGGUGAAAGGCCAAUCAAACCGGGAGAUAGCUGGUUCUCCCCGAAAGCUAUUUAGGUAGCGCCUCGUGAAUUCAUCUCCGGGGGUAGAGCACUGUUUCGGCAAGGGGGUCAUCCCGACUUACCAACCCGAUGCAAACUGCGAAUACCGGAGAAUGUUAUCACGGGAGACACACGGCGGGUGCUAACGUCCGUCGUGAAGAGGGAAACAACCCAGACCGCCAGCUAAGGUCCCAAAGUCAUGGUUAAGUGGGAAACGAUGUGGGAAGGCCCAGACAGCCAGGAUGUUGGCUUAGAAGCAGCCAUCAUUUAAAGAAAGCGUAAUAGCUCACUGGUCGAGUCGGCCUGCGCGGAAGAUGUAACGGGGCUAAACCAUGCACCGAAGCUGCGGCAGCGACGCUUAUGCGUUGUUGGGUAGGGGAGCGUUCUGUAAGCCUGUGAAGGUGUACUGUGAGGUAUGCUGGAGGUAUCAGAAGUGCGAAUGCUGACAUAAGUAACGAUAAAGCGGGUGAAAAGCCCGCUCGCCGGAAGACCAAGGGUUCCUGUCCAACGUUAAUCGGGGCAGGGUGAGUCGACCCCUAAGGCGAGGCCGAAAGGCGUAGUCGAUGGGAAACAGGUUAAUAUUCCUGUACUUGGUGUUACUGCGAAGGGGGGACGGAGAAGGCUAUGUUGGCCGGGCGACGGUUGUCCCGGUUUAAGCGUGUAGGCUGGUUUUCCAGGCAAAUCCGGAAAACUAAGGCUGAGGCGUGAUGACGAGGCACUACGGUGCUGAAGCAACAAAUGCCCUGCUUCCAGGAAAAGCCUCUAAGCAUCAGGUAACAUCAAAUCGUACCCCAAACCGACACAGGUGGUCAGGUAGAGAAUACCAAGGCGCUUGAGAGAACUCGGGUGAAGGAACUAGGCAAAAUGGUGCCGUAACUUCGGGAGAAGGCACGCUGAUAUGUAGGUGAAGUCCCUCGCGGAUGGAGCUGAAAUCAGUCGAAGAUACCAGCUGGCUGCAACUGUUUAUUAAAAACACAGCACUGUGCAAACACGAAAGUGGACGUAUACGGUGUGACGCCUGCCCGGUGCCGGAAGGUUAAUUGAUGGGGUCAGCGCAAGCGAAGCUCUUGAUCGAAGCCCCGGUAAACGGCGGCCGUAACUAUAACGGUCCUAAGGUAGCGAAAUUCCUUGUCGGGUAAGUUCCGACCUGCACGAAUGGCGUAAUGAUGGCCAGGCUGUCUCCACCCGAGACUCAGUGAAAUUGAACUCGCUGUGAAGAUGCAGUGUACCCGCGGCAAGACGGAAAGACCCCGUGAACCUUUACUAUAGCUUGACACUGAACAUUGAGCCUUGAUGUGUAGGAUAGGUGGGAGGCUUUGAAGUGUGGACGCCAGUCUGCAUGGAGCCGACCUUGAAAUACCACCCUUUAAUGUUUGAUGUUCUAACGUUGACCCGUAAUCCGGGUUGCGGACAGUGUCUGGUGGGUAGUUUGACUGGGGCGGUCUCCUCCUAAAGAGUAACGGAGGAGCACGAAGGUUGGCUAAUCCUGGUCGGACAUCAGGAGGUUAGUGCAAUGGCAUAAGCCAGCUUGACUGCGAGCGUGACGGCGCGAGCAGGUGCGAAAGCAGGUCAUAGUGAUCCGGUGGUUCUGAAUGGAAGGGCCAUCGCUCAACGGAUAAAAGGUACUCCGGGGAUAACAGGCUGAUACCGCCCAAGAGUUCAUAUCGACGGCGGUGUUUGGCACCUCGAUGUCGGCUCAUCACAUCCUGGGGCUGAAGUAGGUCCCAAGGGUAUGGCUGUUCGCCAUUUAAAGUGGUACGCGAGCUGGGUUUAGAACGUCGUGAGACAGUUCGGUCCCUAUCUGCCGUGGGCGCUGGAGAACUGAGGGGGGCUGCUCCUAGUACGAGAGGACCGGAGUGGACGCAUCACUGGUGUUCGGGUUGUCAUGCCAAUGGCACUGCCCGGUAGCUAAAUGCGGAAGAGAUAAGUGCUGAAAGCAUCUAAGCACGAAACUUGCCCCGAGAUGAGUUCUCCCUGACUCCUUGAGAGUCCUGAAGGAACGUUGAAGACGACGACGUUGAUAGGCCGGGUGUGUAAGCGCAGCGAUGCGUUGAGCUAACCGGUACUAAUGAACCGUGAGGCUUAACCUU
This 2904-nucleotide ribosomal RNA is filed under the name Escherichia coli. Its description in RNAcentral is "23S ribosomal RNA". It matches the Rfam family "Bacterial large subunit ribosomal RNA". The record is from RNAcentral. Lineage: Bacteria; Pseudomonadati; Pseudomonadota; Gammaproteobacteria; Enterobacterales; Enterobacteriaceae.